AGGAUCAUUACCGAAUUGUCAACAUGAGUUGUUGCUGGUCCCCGGAUGGGGGCACGUGCACGCUCUGUUCACACAUCCACUCACACCUGUGCACCCUCCGUAGUUCUAUGGCUUGGGGGACUCUGUCCUCUCACCGUGGUUCUACGUCUUUACACACACACACCGUAAUAAAGUCCUAUGGAAUGUAUGUCGCGUUUAACGCAAUACAAUACAACUUUCAGCAACGGAUCUCUUGGCUCUCGCAUCGAUGAAGAACGCAGCGAAAUGCGAUAAGUAAUGUGAAUUGCAGAAUUCAGUGAAUCAUCGAAUCUUUGAACGCACCUUGCGCCCUUUGGCUAUUCUGAAGGGCAUGCCUGUUUGAGUAUCAUGAACACCUCAACUCUCAUGGUUCGCCGUGACGAGCUUGGACUUUGGGGGUCUUGCUGGCCUAUGGUCGGCUCCUCUCAAAUGGAUCAGCUUGCCAGUGUUUGGUGGCAUCACGGGUGUGAUAACUAUUUACGCUUGUGGUUUCCCACCAGGUAACCUUCAGCAAUGGAGGUUCGCUGGGGCUCAUAGAUGUCCCUCCGCAGCGAGGACAACUUUUGAACGUUUGAUCUCAAAUCAGGUAGGACUACCCGCUGAACUUAAGCAUAUCAAUAAGCGGAGGAAAAGAAACUAACAAGGAUUCCCCUAGUAACUGCGAGUGAAGCGGGAAAAGCUCAAAUUUAAAAUCUGGCGCGCCUCUGGUCGUCCGAGUUGUAGUCUGGAGAAG
This 751-nucleotide ribosomal RNA is filed under the name uncultured Thelephoraceae. RNAcentral's name for it is "eukaryotic LSU rRNA". The stretch from base 213 to 367 matches the Rfam family "5.8S ribosomal RNA". Lineage: Eukaryota; Fungi; Basidiomycota; Agaricomycetes; Thelephorales; Thelephoraceae. The record is from RNAcentral.